GGGUUUGUAGCUCAGAUGGUUAGAGCACACGCCUGAUAAGCGUGAGGUCGGAAGUUCAAGUCUUCUCAAACCCA
This 74-nucleotide transfer RNA is filed under the name Rickettsia prowazekii. RNAcentral describes it as "tRNA Ile (GAT)". It matches the Rfam family "tRNA". From Rfam's summary of the family: Transfer RNA (tRNA) molecules are approximately 80 nucleotides in length. Their secondary structure includes four short double-helical elements and three loops (D, anti-codon, and T loops). Further hydrogen bonds mediate the characteristic L-shaped molecular structure. tRNAs have two regions of fundamental functional importance: the anti-codon, which is responsible for specific mRNA codon recognition, and the 3' end, to which the tRNAs corresponding amino acid is attached (by aminoacyl-tRNA synthetases). tRNAs cope with the degeneracy of the genetic code in two manners: having more than one tRNA (with a specific anti-codon) for a particular amino acid; and 'wobble' base-pairing, i.e. permitting non-standard base-pairing at the 3rd anti-codon position. Lineage: Bacteria; Pseudomonadati; Pseudomonadota; Alphaproteobacteria; Rickettsiales; Rickettsiaceae. The record is from RNAcentral. RNAcentral also lists the same sequence under 1 other name.